RNAcentral lists this ribosomal RNA (823 nucleotides) under uncultured bacterium. RNAcentral describes it as "bacterial SSU rRNA". It matches the Rfam family "Bacterial small subunit ribosomal RNA", at positions 625 to 1447 of the family's 1533-position model. The record is from RNAcentral.
UCUGGAAACUGUNUGACUUGAGUGCAGAAGGGGAGAGUGGAAUUCCAUGUGUAGCGGUGAAAUGCGUAGAUAUAUGGAGGAACACCAGUGGCGAAAGCGGCUCUCUGGUCUGUCACUGACGCUGAGGCUCGAAAGCGUGGGUAGCGAACAGGAUUAGAUACCCUGGUAGUCCACGCCGUAAACGAUGAGUGCUAGGUGUUAGGCCCUUUCCGGGGCUUAGUGCCGGAGCUAACGCAAUAAGCACUCCGCCUGGGGAGUACGACCGCAAGGUUGAAACUCAAAGGAAUUGGCGGGGGCCCGCACAAGCGGUGGAGCAUGUGGUUUAAUUCGAAGCAACGCGAAGAACCUUACCAGGUCUUGACAUCCCGAUGCUAUUCUUAGAGAUAGGAAGUUACUUCGGUACAUCGGAGACAGGUGGUGCAUGGUUGUCGUCAGCUCGUGUCGUGAGAUGUUGGGUUAAGUCCCGCAACGAGCGCAACCCUUAUUGUUAGUUGCCAUCAUUAAGUUGGGCACUCUAGCGAGACUGCCGGUAAUAAACCGGAGGAAGGUGGGGAUGACGUCAAAUCAUCAUGCCCCUUAUGACCUGGGCUACACACGUGCUACAAUGGUCGGUACAACGAGUUGCGAGCCGGUGACGGCAAGCUAAUCUCUGAAAGCCGAUCUCAGUUCGGAUUGGAGGCUGCAACUCGCCUCCAUGAAGUCGGAAUCGCUAGUAAUCGCGGAUCAGCACGCCGCGGUGAAUACGUUCCCGGGCCUUGUACACACCGCCCGUCACACCACGAGAGUUUGUAACACCCGAAGUCGGUGAGGUANCCUUUUAGGG